CGGACGGGUGAGUAACGCGUGGGUAACCUGCCUUAUACAGGGGGGAUAACAGUUAGAAAUGACUGCUAAUACCGCAUAAGCGCACAGGAUUGCAUGAUCUGGUGUGAAAAACUCCGGUGGUAUAAGAUGGACCCGCGUCUGAUUAGCUGGUUGGUGAGGUAACGGCCCACCAAGGCGACGAUCAGUAGCCGACCUGAGAGGGUGACCGGCCACAUUGGGACUGAGACACGGCCCAAACUCCUACGGGAGGCAGCAGUGGGGAAUAUUGCACAAGUGGGGGAAACCCUGAUGCAGCGACGCCGCGUGAGCGAAGAAGUUAUUUCGGUAUGUAAAGCUCUAUCAGCGAGGGAAGAAAAAAUGACGGUACCUGACUAAGAAGCCCCGGCUAACUACGUG
Molecule: ribosomal RNA, 396 nt
Filed under: uncultured bacterium
Lineage: Bacteria
Description: bacterial SSU rRNA
Rfam family: Bacterial small subunit ribosomal RNA
Source: RNAcentral